UACGUAGGGGGCGAGCGUUGUCCGGAUUCAUUGGGCGUAAAGCGCGCGUAGGCGGCAGGGCAAGUCGGCCGUGAAAUCUCCCAGCUUAACUGGGAGGGGUCGGGCGAGACUGCCCCGCUAGAGGCGGGUAGAGGGCAGUGGAAUUCCGGGUGUAGUGGUGGAAUGCGUAGAGAUCCGGAGGAACACCAGUGGCGAAGGCGGCUGCCUGGGCCUGGCCUGACGCUGAGGCGCGAAAGCGUGGGGAGCGAUCAGG
This 253-nucleotide ribosomal RNA is filed under the name uncultured bacterium. RNAcentral's name for it is "partial 16S ribosomal RNA". It matches the Rfam family "Bacterial small subunit ribosomal RNA", at positions 524 to 776 of the family's 1533-position model. The record is from RNAcentral.